RNAcentral lists this ribosomal RNA (505 nucleotides) under uncultured bacterium. Its description in RNAcentral is "partial 16S ribosomal RNA". It matches the Rfam family "Bacterial small subunit ribosomal RNA", at positions 28 to 507 of the family's 1533-position model. The record is from RNAcentral.
GACGAACGCUGGCGGCGUGCCUAAUACAUGCAAGUAGAACGCACAGUUUAUACCGUAGCUUGCUACACCAUAAACUGUGAGUUGCGAACGGGUGAGUAACGCGUAGGUAACCUGCCUGGUAGCGGGGGAUAACUAUUGGAAACGAUAGCUAAUACCGCAUAAUAUUGAUUAUUGCAUGAUAAUUGAUUGAAAGAUGCUAUUGCAUCACUACCAGAUGGACCUGCGUUGUAUUAGCUAGUAGGUGAGGUAACGGCUCACCUAGGCGACGAUACAUAGCCGACCUGAGAGGGUGAUCGGCCACACUGGGACUGAGACACGGCCCAGACUCCUACGGGAGGCAGCAGUAGGGAAUCUUCGGCAAUGGACGAAAGUCUGACCGAGCAACGCCGCGUGAGUGAAGAAGGUUUUCGGAUCGUAAAGCUCUGUUGUAAGAGAAGAACGGGUGUGAGAGUGGAAAGUUCACACUGCGACGGUAUCUUACCAGAAAGGGACGGCUAACUACGUG